GCUCCCAUAGCUCAGUGGAGAGAGUGCCGCGCUACGAACGCGGAGGUCCCAGGUUCAAGUCCUGGUGGGAGCAC
This 74-nucleotide transfer RNA is filed under the name Actinokineospora globicatena. RNAcentral's name for it is "tRNA-Arg". It matches the Rfam family "tRNA". Rfam says of the family: Transfer RNA (tRNA) molecules are approximately 80 nucleotides in length. The record is from RNAcentral. Lineage: Bacteria; Bacillati; Actinomycetota; Actinomycetes; Pseudonocardiales; Pseudonocardiaceae.